This 1295-nucleotide long non-coding RNA is filed under the name Numida meleagris (helmeted guineafowl). Its description in RNAcentral is "lncRNA (ENSNMEG00000002638.1)". The record is from RNAcentral. Lineage: Eukaryota; Metazoa; Chordata; Aves; Galliformes; Numididae.
GAUUUGGGGUCAGGGUCCGGAUUUGGGUCCAGAUCUGGAUCUGGGGUCAGGGUCUGGAUUCAGGGGCUGGGGGCCAGAUCUGGGGUCAGAGUCCAGAUUUGGGAUUGGGAUCUGGAUUUGGGGUCAGAGUCCAGAUUUGGGAUCAGGAUCCGGAUUUGGGAUCGGGAUCCGGAUUUGGGAUCUGGAUCUGGAUUUGGGGUCAGGGUCCAGAUUUGGGGUCAGGGUCUGGAUUUGGGAUCGGGAUCUGGAUUUGGGAUCGGGAUCCAGAUUUGGGAUCUGGAUCCGGAUUUGGGGUCAGGGUCCAGCGCUGGGAUCUGCAGUGGGGGCGCGGGGCCCCGCGUGGUUCCUGGUCUUCUCUCAGAUCCCCAACCCCGCGCCCGCUCCCACCCGCGUCCCCAGCCGGGUGUCACCGUGUCACCACUGCGGUGUCACCGGGGCACCGUGUCCCCAAGAAGAGGUCACCACGUCAUGGUGUCCCCAACGUGAUGUCACCGUGUCCCCAACGCAAUGUCACCAGGACGUGGUGUCCCCAACGUGAUGUUACUGGGACAUGGUGUCCCCAACGCAAUGUCACCGUGUCCCCACUGCGAUGUCACCGGGACAUGAUGUCCCCAACGCGAUGUCACCAGGACAUGGUGUCCCCAACGUGAUGUCACCGUGUCCCCAAUACGAUGUCACCAGGACGUGAUGUCCCCAGAGUGAUGUCACCAGGGCAUGGUGUCCCCAAUGCAAUGUCACCAUGUCCCCAACGCGAUGUCACCUGGACAUGAUGUCCCCAGCGCCAUGUCACCAAGACGUGAUGUCCCCAGAGUGAUGUCACCAGGACAUGGUGUCCCCAACGCAAUGUCACCGUGUCCCCAACACGAUGUCACCUGGACAUGAUGUCCCCAGUGCAAUGUCACCGUGUCCCCAACACGAUGUCACCAGGACAUGGUGUCCCCAGCGCGAUGUCACCGGGACAUGGUGUCCCCAACGUGAUGUCACCGGGACAUGGUGUCCCCAGCAUGAUGUCACCGUGUCCCCAGCACGAUGUCACCAGGACAUGGUGUCACCAACACGGUGUCACCGGGACACGAUGUCACCAUGGAGACGCCAGCAGGACACAGUGUCACCCAUGAGAUGUCGCCAGGGCACAGUGUCCCCAAGGAGAUGUCACCACGCCAUGGUGUCCCCAGCGAGGUGUCCCCAUGCCAUGGGGUGUCACCGUGUCACCGAGCCUUCACCUGGACGUGAUGUCCCCAGCGCGAUGUCACCAGGGCACGGUGUCACCAACACGAUGUCACCACGCCGUGGUG